UACGUAGGGGGCCAGCGUUGUCCGGAAUCAUUGGGCGUAAAGCGCGCGUAGGCGGCCAGAUAAGUCCGGUGUGAAAGUCAAAGGCUCAACCUUUGAAUGCCGCUGGAAACUGCCUGGCUUGAGUCCGGAAGGGGCGAGUGGAAUUCCUGGUGUAGCGGUGAAAUGCGCAGAUAUCAGGAAGAACACCCGUGGCGAAGGCGGCUCUCUGGGACGGUACUGACGCUGAGACGCGAAAGCGUGGGGAGCGAACAGG
This 253-nucleotide ribosomal RNA is filed under the name uncultured bacterium. Its description in RNAcentral is "partial 16S ribosomal RNA". It matches the Rfam family "Bacterial small subunit ribosomal RNA", at positions 524 to 776 of the family's 1533-position model. The record is from RNAcentral.